UACGUAGGGUGCAAGCGUUAAUCGGAAUUACUGGGCGUAAAGCGUGCGCAGGCGGUGAUGUAAGACAGAUGUGAAAUCCCCGGGCUCAACCUGGGAACUGCAUUUGUGACUGCAUCGCUGGAGUGCGGCAGAGGGGGAUGGAAUUCCGCGUGUAGCAGUGAAAUGCGUAGAUAUGCGGAGGAACACCGAUGGCGAAGGCAAUCCCCGUGGGCCUGCACUGACGCUCAUGCACGAAAGCGUGGGGGAGCAAACAGG
RNAcentral lists this ribosomal RNA (255 nucleotides) under uncultured bacterium. Its description in RNAcentral is "partial 16S ribosomal RNA". It matches the Rfam family "Bacterial small subunit ribosomal RNA", at positions 524 to 776 of the family's 1533-position model. The record is from RNAcentral.